AUACGGAGGGUGCAAACGUUAAUCGGAAUUACUGGGCGUAAAGCGCACGUAGGUGGUUUGUUAAGUGGGAUGUGAAAGCCCCGGGCUCAACCUGGGAACUGCAUUCCAAACUGAUGAACUAGAGUACGGUAGAGGGGGGUAGAAUUCAGAGUGUAGCGGUGAAAUGCGUAGAUAUUCUGAGGAAUACCGGUGGCGAAGGCGGCCCCCUGGACUGAUACUGACACUGAGGUGCGAAAGCGUGGGGAGCAAACAGGAUUAGAAACCCCGGUAGUCC
Molecule: ribosomal RNA, 274 nt
Filed under: uncultured bacterium
Lineage: Bacteria
Description: partial 16S ribosomal RNA
Rfam family: Bacterial small subunit ribosomal RNA
Source: RNAcentral